RNAcentral lists this non-coding RNA (35 nucleotides) under Prorocentrum micans. The record is from RNAcentral. Lineage: Eukaryota; Dinophyceae; Prorocentrales; Prorocentraceae.
AAUUCGAAAAAAAAAAAAAAAAAAAAAAAAAAAAA